This 478-nucleotide ribosomal RNA is filed under the name uncultured bacterium. Its description in RNAcentral is "SSU rRNA". It matches the Rfam family "Bacterial small subunit ribosomal RNA", at positions 26 to 518 of the family's 1533-position model. The record is from RNAcentral.
AGGACGAACGCUGGCGGCGUGCUUAACACAUGCAAGUCGAGCGGUAAGGCUCCUUCGGGAGUACACGAGCGGCGAACGGGUGAGUAACACGUGAGCAAUCUGCCCUUCACAUUGGAAUAACUUCCGGAAACGGAAGCUAAUACCGAAUACGACCACCGAAGGCAUCUUCUGGUGGUGGAAAGUUCCGGCGGUGAAGGAUGAGCUCGCGGCCUAUCAGCUUGUUGGUGGGGUAAUGGCCCACCAAGGCAACGACGGGUAGCCGGCCUGAGAGGGUGACCGGCCACACUGGGACUGAGACACGGCCCAGACUCCUACGGGAGGCAGCAGUGGGGAAUAUUGGACAAUGGGCGAAAGCCUGAUCCAGCAACGCCGCGUGAGGGAUGACGGCCUUCGGGUUGUAAACCUCUUUCAGCAGGGACGAAGCGCAAGUGACGGUACCUGCAGAAGAAGCACCGGCCAACUACGUGCCAGCAGCCGC